This 374-nucleotide ribosomal RNA is filed under the name uncultured bacterium. RNAcentral's name for it is "bacterial SSU rRNA". It matches the Rfam family "Bacterial small subunit ribosomal RNA", at positions 434 to 793 of the family's 1533-position model. The record is from RNAcentral.
CAGUCGUGAGGAAGGUAGUGUAGUUAAUAGCUGCAUUAUUUGACGUUAGCGACAGAAGAAAGCACCGGCUAACUCCGUGCCAGCAGCCGCGGUAAUACGGAGGGUGCGAGCGUUAAUCGGAAUUACUGGGCGUAAAGCGCAUGCAGGUGGUUUGUUUAAGUUCAGAUGUGAAAGACCCGGGGCGUCAACCUCGGAAUUGCAUUUGAAACUAGGCAGACUAGAGUACUGUAGAGGGGGGUAGGAAUUUCUAGGUGUAGCGGUGAAAUAGCGUAGAGAUCUGAAGGAAUACCGGUGGCGAAGGCGGCCCCCUCGGACAGAUACUGACACUCAGAUGCGAAAGCGUGGGGAGCAAACAGGAUUAGAUACCCUGGUAG